UCACCACCAUCAUUUACCUGAAUAAUCUUUCGGGCAUUUGGUAUGUGCGGAAGAUAAGACUUCCGAGUACGCCUAAACGCAGCAUAAAUUUAACCCUCUCGGAAGUGAUUUCGAGAGGUUUUUUUAUU
This is a non-coding RNA of Mannheimia haemolytica M42548, 128 nucleotides long. Lineage: Bacteria; Pseudomonadati; Pseudomonadota; Gammaproteobacteria; Pasteurellales; Pasteurellaceae. The record is from Rfam.